Molecule: unclassified non-coding RNA, 379 nt
Filed under: uncultured Paenibacillaceae bacterium
Lineage: Bacteria; Bacillati; Bacillota; Bacilli; Caryophanales; Paenibacillaceae
Description: contains 16S-23S intergenic spacer region
Source: RNAcentral
UCCGGUUUGUCACCGGCAGUCACUCUAGAGUGCCCAGCUUAACCUGCUGGCAACUAAAGUUAAGGGUUGCGCUCGUUGCGGGACUUAACCCAACAUCUCACGACACGAGCUGACGACAACCAUGCACCACCUGUCUCCGAUGCUCCGAAGAGGGGCACUAUCUCUAAUGCUUACAUCGGGAUGUCAAGACCUGGUAAGGUUCUUCGCGUUGCUUCGAAUUAAACCACAUACUCCACUGCUUGUGCGGGUCCCCGUCAAUUCCUUUGAGUUUCAGUCUUGCGACCGUACUCCCCAGGCGGAGUGCUUACUGUGUUAACUUCGGCACCAAGGGUAUCGAAACCCCUAACACCUAGCACUCAUCGUUUACGGCGUGGACUAC